UACGUAGGGAGCGAGCGUUAUCCGGAUUUAUUGGGUGUAAAGGGUGCGUAGACGGAUUGACAAGUUAGUUGUGAAAUACCUCGGCUUAACUGAGGAACUGCAACUAAAACUAUGAAUCUUGAGUACUGGAGGGGAAAGCGGAAUUCCUAGUGUAGCGGUGAAAUGCGUAGAUAUUAGGAAGAACACCGGUGGCGAAGGCGGCUUUCUGGACAGUAACUGACACUGAGGCACGAAAGCGUGGGGAGCAAACAGG
RNAcentral lists this ribosomal RNA (253 nucleotides) under uncultured bacterium. RNAcentral describes it as "partial 16S ribosomal RNA". It matches the Rfam family "Bacterial small subunit ribosomal RNA", at positions 524 to 776 of the family's 1533-position model. The record is from RNAcentral.